GCUUGUGAAGUGAAUUAAAUCUACUUAUUUAAUUUAUACAUGAAUAAUGAGCAUAAGCCAAUAUUUGAUUGCAAACACGCGAUUAAAUAGUAGAUGCACUGAGUAACCAAGACACAAAGAUUUAUUAUUAUUUACAAUUAGAACUUCAACCACCACUAUCAAUCAAUGCAGUAAUUGAUUUUUUUUCUGAGUACAAGAAGAAAUCUUUGCAUAUAAGCUCACCACUGGCAGCAAGAGUGACGCAGUACAUUUGGGUAAAAAAAUAAAACUCUCGAAUUUGCUGGCUUUAGGAGGAAGAUCAUGCUUAAGACAAUCAUCUUCCACUAUCUAAUUAUUUAUCAACCACUACCUCCACUUAACAAAAAUGAGACCUACGCACUAGCCUGCACCACCACCCUUUUUCUCCACCAAACUUUCCACUUACUUCAUUCCUUCUCUCAUACACCAAGCACCAGAAAGGGAGAUGAAGUUCCUGCUGCCAACUGCCAAGUAUCGAGAGUUUCUUCUCCAUUGAAUUCAUUAUCAACAACAGCAGCUACCAACACAAAAUACUCAAGGUCAAGCGCGAGAGUAAGAACUACACAAGGAGUUAGAGUACCUUAGCAAAACUUUGCUAUCAGGUUGAGCUGUGAUGGGCGAUGAAGUGUUGUUGCUGAGUAGAGUUUUUGUCGAAUUUAAAGUAGGCUCAGAAAGGAUACAUGUCUUCAUACAUGUAUCUCAGUUAUGCAUUCCGCUGUAAACACUGAUUAUUUCAGUUACACCUUCCGUUGCAAACUCUGAUAAUGUUUUAGCCAAGCCCCUAAAAAUGCCUUUUUCCUUUUAAGGAAUAUAACGCGUAUACAAGUUCUUUGA
Salvia miltiorrhiza (redroot sage) is the source of this 852-nucleotide long non-coding RNA. RefSeq lists it as uncharacterized. The transcript has 3 exons. The record is from RefSeq and is a predicted model, not a curated record. Lineage: Eukaryota; Viridiplantae; Streptophyta; Magnoliopsida; Lamiales; Lamiaceae.